ACAACUGCGCCAACGUCUGCCGGACCGAGGGCUUCCCCGGCGGCAAGUGCCGCGGCGCCAGCCGCCGCUGCUUCUGCACCACCCACUGCCGCUAGUAGCCUAGCUGCAUGCAUGCAUGCUGGCACCUUUGUGCGUGUACCGUGUCCGUGUCCAUGAAUAAACCUCAGCUUGUCUACUAUCUUGGCAUGCAGGCCGAGCUGGGUAUAAGAAGCAACUUCUCCUUGUGUCCGUUCGAUGUUUGGGUUCGUCCUCAAAGUUGCAGCGAGGUCCCAUGUUUCCUUUCACGUGUGUUGUGUGCGUGUAAGCGUGUUCUCCCUCUCACUUGCUCUGUACACGAAACGACGUGCAUGUCGCAUGCUACUUCCGUGUGAUCGAAAGCAUGUUUUUUUGUUUGUUUGAGAAAAGUGUGAUCGAGGCAUGUGUGCAGCAAGGAACUUGACAGCUGCCACCCGGCGCUGCUCAAUGCUCAUGCACGAUGGACUGGCCACGCGUAAAAGGUCCCGGCCUCUAGGAGUGGGAAGUUAUGGUCACGGGCACCAUGGUCCCCUUUAUUAAAAAAAAACAUAUUAAGAAGUAAAAAAAUUAUCUGUGGAAACAUGUAUGUGUGCACUACGGAUCCAUGAAAUUUUGUUUUGAAAAAAUGUAAUGUGUAAGCUGUAAAACAUAAUCUGGCCAUAUACUGAUUGACUUUGUUCCAUCGUUGAAAACCUCGUAUAUAUUCUGUAUAUUCGAUCUAAACCAUUAUGAUCGUGCGUUAAGCAAGACUUGACUUGUUGCCAUGGAGGAGAAAAGAAUUGCUUGGAGGAGUGAUUUUGCAUCUCCCUAGCUACAAACUGCAUGGGUAGUGACCCAGAUGAAGCCAAGUUGCAAGUCCGUGCAGUUAUUAUGGCCUAAUUAGUAAAGUCAAACACGAGUGUCCUAUGAGCAGAGUUCUGUAUACUGUCUGAAUAUCGCUAGGCUGUUUCUGCAAGUUACAAAGGGCAUUUUGGUUUGAGAGUUAUGCAUCGGCCCCAUGUGUGUUUCAUACUACCGUUGAUGAGGAAUCCCCACAUCAUCACACCGAGAUCAUGGUAGGGUCUUGAGCAACAUGAUGAAGGACUCAUGCCUCGGCAGAGUAAUCAAUUCGUUGAUGCGAAUUAGGUGGCUCAUGGGGCCUCUGGUUUAGCCAGUGGAGUGCCAUAAUUGAGCGUCACUGCCCUAACAGACGCAUACUGUCAGGCUCGUCAGCAACCUUCCAGAACACGAUGGGCUGGGCGUUAUGAUUACCGUUUAGGCCAGACAAGGACAAGGACGGCCUCGUUAGUAGUAGAAGACACCAACCAAGUAAUUAUACUACGUAGUAGACAGCCAUGUCUUGUGAAACUCUUAAGUAUCCACAUGCGAAAGUAAAAUGUUGUGAAAUUUUGCACAUACAUAAUAUACAUGUGACUGUGUUUACAAAAAAUUCCAAUUUUUUGGUGUUUCACCAGCGCUGGUUAAACGUGUCCCCGCACGUAAACCAACUGGGCCGGCCUAUAAUGCAUUGAAACAUUCCUGAUUUUUGUGCAGCUUUGUGGCCAAUUCUAAGAAGCUUCUAGAAGCACCGAACAAUUUUUGGGAAGCUUCUGACCGAUUUUUUUUCUUUUCUUGGUUUUUUAUUUUUAUUUUUUAUUUUCCUUUUUUCUUCAUUUUUCAUUUAAUGUAUUUUAAACUCACAUUUUCAAAAACAAUUCAAGAACUUUUUGAAAUCCAUGAGCAUUUUUCAAAUUGGUGAUUUUUUUAUAAAUCCGUGAACAUAUUUAAAAUAUUUUUCAGAUUCAUGAACUUUUCGAAAUCUGAAUUAUUUUUACAAUCAUUGUUUUUUUUAAUUUGUGAUUUUUUUAAUUCAUGACUUUUUUUCGAGCCACAAUAGUUUUUCAAAUAUGAAAAAAAACUAUCUUUAGUCCAAAAGUCAACGGUCAACCGUCCGACCAGGUCAACCAUGAAGAGUGACUAGGCGUGUGCGCUUGAUGAGCGAGCUGCUCGCUCGCAUAGCUAGCCCAGCCCACACAAGGGGGCGCGUGAGCGCUGCCUCGCUACCAAGCGCAACGAGUGCUAACUAGGAGCUUUGACGGCAAAUACCAUAGCUGGCUUCUCUCUUAGUGACGAAUUUGCACAAAAUGACCCCUUUUGAAGAAAUCUAAGCCCAAGAGGCCCCUAAUUCACCUAUGGACCCCCUCCAGGGGAGGAUUGCGGUUCAUAUAUUAACUUUGUCAGUAUUGUCACGAUUUCAUCUGCUACUUAUGUCUGCCGAUAAAAAUUGGUCCAUAUAUUGCCACAUAUAAAGUAAACUAGAUAGUAGCUCGUGCAUUGUAAUGGGGCACAAUAUUUUCUACCCAACCGUUGUGAUUUAUUGAACAUUUUAUUGUUUUAUUAUAGUUACAUACUAAAUGUCGCAAUUGAAUCAAUACUUAUUGAUUUACCAAAGAAAACAUGAUUCUAUUAGUUGCUGCAUUUUUCUAAAUCGUUUGGCUUAGAUUAGGGGGGUAGCUGCAAAUCAAACAUGUGGCAACUCUAACGAGCUUGCAAAACUGGUUGUGUGACAAAGUAUUGCAAUCUUAUUAUACCAAUUAAAUAUGUCUACAUGCAUCUAGCUGUCACCAAACCAAACACUAGCUUUUUGCCUAUGUGUUUCGUCCCUCGAAUUUUACUAUGCCACGCACGACUCAAUAUUUUUCUUUGACUUUUUUGCUGUGAUACAUAAUAAUGAUCACAAAAAUUAGCUUCAACUAUAAUGAAUUUUCACUAAAUAAGAUUGAAAGAGUGAAAAAUCACUCCCUCCUAUAUGUCUAAUCCUCACAUAUGCAACAAAUAUAGAUCGGCCUAAGUAUCAGAGCCAGGCAUUCCAAACUAAAAACAUUGAAGGAGCGUAAACAUCAAGAACCACCAUCACCCAAAAACAAAUGAAGCAAGGACUAAAACUAUAAAUUCAAGAACUUGUAGGGGCCACACGGACUGUUCGGAAAAAAAAAAUACCUUGAGAGCUGUGAUAUUUUUAAAACGAGAUCAACCAGCACUAGCCCUUAGCGGCAUAUUUUUAUGGAAGAAAAUCUGUAAGCAUCCGGCAGAGUAUACUGCUUUAGCAUAUGACAAAUCUAUUUUUUUACGGGAGCAUAUGUACAGAUCUACAAAACACACAAUAGGUGGUAGUUAAAAUUAAAAUGUAUGGCCAUAAAUGGUAAGGGUAGCACACAUCUCAAAGCUUUCCCCGACGCUGGAUUCUUUGCUGUUACCUACCGGGUGGGCACCCCAGAAAAAUCGUGUUCGUGUCCACCGGCCGUAUCGAUGCGUUUCUGAUAAACCGCUCGCCGCUCCCUACCCUUGCUAAGCUCACGGCAAUCCAGUCGUCGUCGUCGUCGUCACAGACCACGUGAGUUUUCUUGUAGCAAUCCAUGGCGUCGCCGGAUCGACCUUUGGCUCGUUGCACGUACUCCCACCGAUCUACUUGCGGCACAUAUUUGUCGCCUUUUUCAUUUGGAUGCAGCUGCAUCGCGUUCGGUUUGACCCCAUGGCUUCGGCAGCUUGUGCGUGCCGCUACAUAAGCUGGUGUGCUCUCCCAGCAGCUCCAUCACUCCACCGCCACCCUCGUACAAUGGAGGCUUCACGCAAGCUCCUCUCGGCGGCGAUCCUCCUGGUGCUGCUGCUGGCGGGCACCGGGGAGAUGGGAGGCCCGGUGGCGGUGGCGGAGGCGCGGACGUGCGAGGCGAAGAGCCACAGGUUCAGGGGCCCCUGCGUGCGCCACCGCAACUGCGCCAACGUCUGCAAGACCGAGGGCUUCCCCGGCGGCAAGUGCCGCGGCUUCCGCCAUCGCUGCUUCUGCACCACCCACUGCCGCCAGUAACCAACCCACUACCUCUACUUCGUACGUCCGCCUAGCUGCAGCCUGCCUGCGUGCAUGCUGGCUUGCUCGCACCUUCUGCGUGUAUUGUAGUACUGUGUGUGUCCAUGAAUAAACCUCGGCCUGUCUGUCAUGGCAUGCUGAGAUGGGUAUAAGAAACGCAGGUUCCCUUUUACUCUGUGUUAAUAAUCAUUCCUUGAGUCGUCGAUUUCCCCGUUGGAUAUGUGGGUUCAAAUUUUCAUUUUUGAACUGCCCACCUGAAUUUUCAUUUCAAGCCCAAGAAUGGCAAACCGACAGAUUACAGGGCUUCUACCAGUUGAGAGAAACAGGGGUCGAUGUUGCGCACUACUUCAGACAGCGCAAGGCCGCAAGGCAUAGGUCACGCAAAAUCCUGGCAUGCGGGGAAGCCGACAGAGGAGCUUUGCUACACUUACGUAAUUGUUUUACGUAAACUCUUUAGGAAAUCAACUUGGCAACUGGUGAUUGGUUAGUAGGAAAUCAUGGGGCAGGGCCUGCAGUUAAAAUCAGGGGGACGGAAGAGAAUUAGGGCUUCUUUGAUUCAUAGGACUGCAAAAUCAGGGGAAGGUUUAUGUAACAGGCUAUGAGCAAUGCUACACCUACGUACAGUUAUUUUAGACAAACCUAACUAAUUAAGGAGUACUAGUAGAAUGCCCGUGCGUUGCCACGGGCAUUUUAAAAAAUUGACCGGUUUGUCAUGAUAAUGUUCCACUGGAAAAAACAUAUGAGGUUUAUGGAUAUAUGAUAUUCCCCCGCACACGUGGUGAUUAUGCCAAUAUUAUGACUCUGGCAAACCUCAAAAAAAAAA
RNAcentral lists this long non-coding RNA (4682 nucleotides) under Triticum aestivum (bread wheat). RNAcentral describes it as "long non-coding RNA (TAES_LNC004860)". Lineage: Eukaryota; Viridiplantae; Streptophyta; Magnoliopsida; Poales; Poaceae. The record is from RNAcentral.